RNAcentral lists this ribosomal RNA (253 nucleotides) under uncultured bacterium. RNAcentral's name for it is "partial 16S ribosomal RNA". It matches the Rfam family "Bacterial small subunit ribosomal RNA", at positions 524 to 776 of the family's 1533-position model. The record is from RNAcentral.
UACGGAGGGGGCUAGCGUUAUUCGGAAUUACUGGGCGUAAAGCGCACGUAGGCGGCUUUGUAAGUAAGAGGUGAAAGCCCGGAGCUCAACUCCGGAACUGCCUUUUAGACUGCAUCGCUUGAAUCCAGGAGAGGUGAGUGGAAUUCCGAGUGUAGCGGUGAAAUGCGCAGAUAUCGGGAAGAACACCCGUGGCGAAGGCGGCUCUCUGGGACGGUACUGACGCUGAGACGCGAAAGCGUGGGGAGCGAACAGG